CGCGAAGAACCUUACCUGGUCUUGACAUCCACAGAAUUUUUUAGAAAUAAGAAAGUGCCUUUUAGGAACUGUGAGACAGGUGCUGCAUGGCUGUCGUCAGCUCGUGUUGUGAAAUGUUGGGUUAAGUCCCGCAACGAGCGCAACCCUUGUCCUUUUUUGCCAGCGGUUCGGCCGGGAACUACAAGGAGACUGCCGGUUAUAAACCGGAGGAAGGUGGGGACGACGUCAAGUCAUCAUGGCCCUUACGACCAGGGCUACACACGUGCUACAAUGGUAUAUACAAAGAGAAGCAAAUUCGCGAGGAUAAGCAAAUCUCAUAAAGUAUAUCUUAGUUCGGACUGGAGUCUGCAACUCGACUCCACGAAGUCGGAAUCGCUAGUAAUCGUGAAUCAGAAUGUCA
Molecule: ribosomal RNA, 400 nt
Filed under: Buchnera aphidicola (Tuberculatus sp.)
Lineage: Bacteria; Pseudomonadati; Pseudomonadota; Gammaproteobacteria; Enterobacterales; Erwiniaceae
Also listed under: 1 other name
Description: bacterial SSU rRNA
Rfam family: Bacterial small subunit ribosomal RNA
Source: RNAcentral